UACAGAGGUCUCAAGCGUUGUUCGGAUUCAUUGGGCGUAAAGGGUGCGUAGGCGGCGUGGUAAGUCAGAUGUGAAAUCCCGGGGCUCAACCCCGGAACUGCAUCCGAUACUGCCGUGCUUGAGGGUUGGAGAGGUAGCUGGAAUUAUCGGUGUAGCAGUGAAAUGCGUGGAUAUCGAUAGGAACACUCGUGGCGAAGGCGAGCUACUGGACAACAUCUGACGCUGAGGCUCGAAGGCUAGGGGAGCAAAAGGG
This 253-nucleotide ribosomal RNA is filed under the name uncultured bacterium. RNAcentral describes it as "partial 16S ribosomal RNA". It matches the Rfam family "Bacterial small subunit ribosomal RNA", at positions 524 to 776 of the family's 1533-position model. The record is from RNAcentral.